Molecule: ribosomal RNA, 731 nt
Filed under: uncultured bacterium
Lineage: Bacteria
Description: bacterial SSU rRNA
Rfam family: Bacterial small subunit ribosomal RNA
Source: RNAcentral
CGGUGGCGGCAGGCCUAACACAUGCAAGUCGAGCGGUAGAGAGAAGCUUGCUUCUCUUGAGAGCGGCGGACGGGUGAGUAAUGCCUAGGAAUCUGCCUGGUAGUGGGGGAUAACGUUCGGAAACGGACGCUAAUACCGCAUACGUCCUACGGGAGAAAGCAGGGGACCUUCGGGCCUUGCGCUAUCAGAUGAGCCUAGGUCGGAUUAGCUAGUUGGUGAGGUAAUGGCUCACCAAGGCGACGAUCCGUAACUGGUCUGAGAGGAUGAUCAGUCACACUGGAACUGAGACACGGUCCAGACUCCUACGGGAGGCAGCAGUGGGGAAUAUUGGACAAUGGGCGAAAGCCUGAUCCAGCCAUGCCGCGUGUGUGAAGAAGGUCUUCGGAUUGUAAAGCACUUUAAGUUGGGAGGAAGGGUUGUAGAUUAAUACUCUGCAAUUUUGACGUUACCGACAGAAUAAGCACCGGCUAACUCUGUGCCAGCAGCCGCGGUAAUACAGAGGGUGCAAGCGUUAAUCGGAAUUACUGGGCGUAAAGCGCGCGUAGGUGGUUUGUUAAGUUGGAUGUGAAAUCCCCGGGCUCAACCUGGGAACUGCAUUCAAAACUGACUGACUAGAGUAUGGUAGAGGGUGGUGGAAUUUCCUGUGUAGCGGUGAAAUGCGUAGAUAUAGGAAGGAACACCAGUGGCGAAGGCGACCACCUGGACUAAUACUGACACUGAGGUGCGAAAGC